UAUUGACCAUCCACUAAUAAUAGUAACUACCAAUUAUUUCAUAGGAGCGUUGGUCCUAAAGUGAAUUCAAUUCAACCUUUGCAAAUGUUACAAGUCCAAUCUAGGCAAGACGACGUCAUUUCUAGAGCUGUGCGCUUCUUUAUCAUCGAUCUCAUCUAGAGUUGCAGAUGAGGGAAACAGUAAACGACAAGCAUCAGAUUUG
This 202-nucleotide unclassified non-coding RNA is filed under the name Hevea brasiliensis (rubber tree). The record is from RNAcentral. Lineage: Eukaryota; Viridiplantae; Streptophyta; Magnoliopsida; Malpighiales; Euphorbiaceae.